ACGUGUCAAUGCAAGUCAAUCGUGAGUCUAUGAUGUAUAAUUGAAAAAUAUCAGACUAAAGAGAAUUUUAGCUAGAACUAAGCUGCUUAACAGGGGUUACCAUGGCAACAACAACACAGUCACUAGCAAGUUCAUGUUCAAUUCUUUCUCCGCAUAUAGCUCUGCAACGCAUUCGCAUUCCACGCGCAUUCAACUUCAUCCACACAUCUAACUUUCCCAAAGCCACAACGAAUGUAACCGUUUCCCAUCAAUUUUCCUCUUUCGGGUUUCCCGGUAAAUCUCCGCGCGACACCACUGCCAUCAUCGCCGCUUCAUCCACUGACGACAGCGGCGUCACUUCUCAAGAUCUCGCAGUUUUUCUCGAAGUCCACGGGGUUCUUGUGGAUGCAUACCGUGUAGGGAAUCGCAUAGCCUUCAAUAAAGCAUUUGAGAAACUUGGACUUGAUUGUGCGAGCUGGAACGAACCUGUCUAUUCAGAUCUUUUAAGAAGAAGCAUUGGAGAUGAGGAAAAAAUGCUAUUCUUGUAUUUUAAUCGAAUUGGGUGGCCUUCGUCAUUACCCACAAAUGAGAAGGGACUCUUCACAAAAAGUGUUUUGCUGGAAAAGGAAAAAGCUUUGGAAGAGUUUGUGACCUCAAAAAGUCUACCUCUACAGCCUGGUGUUGAACAGUUUAUUGAUGAUGCAUACAAUGAAGGAGUUCCAGUGGUAGUAUUAACAGCCUACACUAAAAGUGGUGAUAAUAUUGCGAGGAGCAUAUUAGAAAAGCUUGGUAAUGAUCGAAGCAAAAAGGUGAUUAUUGUGGGGAUUAAGGAGGCUGAGCAAAGUUUAUAUGGCCAACUCAUCUCAGGAAAGGUGAUUGCUUAUGGUUUGGAUGAAGAGCUUGCCAAGGAAGCCACAAGAGCGGCUUCUGCUGAGAAACAAAGACUGGCAAAGGAGGUAGCAUCCAUGCUAAAUUUGAGUGUUGCGAUUGAUACUGGCUUACCUGAAAGUCUAGAUAAGAUUGUGACUGCGCUACAUGCGGGAGCAGAAUGUGCAGGGCUACCUAUCUGCAACUGUGUCCUUGUUGCAGGAAGCCAUUCUGGAGCAGUUGGAGCUGAACGGGUGGGCAUGCCGUGCGUUGUUCUACGAAGCAGUUUGACAUCUAGAGCUGAGUUCCCCUUAGCAAUUGCCACUAUGGAUGCGUUUGGAGGUGGAGAUCUGACCAUUUCAAAAUUACGCGAUCUAUGCCAGAAGAAACAACCAAAGGAUUGAGUGAGUUUUGUAUCAAUUACCCGCAAGAAAUUCAAAAUAAGAACCAAGUAUCCACUUGCUCUGGGUCUGAAGCUGGCAAGCAAAAGCACCGUGCCUAUAGAAAGGGAGUGUAAGAUAGUGUCUUCAGAGACAAUUUUUGCUGGUGAAGGCUGAACGAAAGAAGGCUUCACAAUCGCUCUGUGCAGUAUGCAGAGAGAAUCGCUCUGUGCAGUAUGCAGAGAGAUGUGAGGGAAUGGAUGCUAGGGAAGGAAUCCGAGAGUAUCUGUAUGUACUCAAGCAAGGAAUGUAACUUUCUUAUAAGUAACCGAUGCAAAGAGUAAUAAAAGUGUUAUAGAAUGCAGAGAAAGAAGAGGAUAUUUGUGAAUUGUAUGAUGUCCUCAUUCAGCAAUUACAACUCAAAUAGGCAGUUCUGUUUCAACCCACGUUGGGGACUCUUUUCUCUGCAACGCCAAUUCUAACAAAGUAAAUAAUUUUUCUUAUAAGUAUUUCAAAUACUCUCAAGAGUUUGUACGUAGGAAUACGCAAGAUAAUUCAGCAUAUAUUCGAGUUUGCACAAGAUUGGUGAAAAUUCAAAUGUAGGGAAGGUGAAAUCCGAAAUUUUAUGUGAAGAAGAUAGGUUUUUUUA
Molecule: RNA transcript, 1875 nt
Organism: Lathyrus oleraceus (garden pea)
Lineage: Eukaryota; Viridiplantae; Streptophyta; Magnoliopsida; Fabales; Fabaceae
Gene name: CBBY-like protein
Exons: 13
Source: RefSeq, a predicted model, not a curated record